AUGCUGCAGUGGGAGGCUAGGCGACCCCUCCCUGCCCCCCCAUCCCGGGUAUGCUGCAGUGGGAGGCCAGGCGACCCCUUCCUGCCCCCCGGCUCCGGGGACUACGCCGUCAACCUGGAGGGCCGCUGGCAGAAGCCACCCUGGGCCCCGCCGUCCAAUCGGUCUGCUGCACAGCCUCUGCGGCACUGGUCAUUGCGGGCCGCCCCCGGGGGCGCAGGAGGCCGGUGGGGACCUGGUGGGCUGCCCGGGCCAGACACCCGAACGGGCGGGCUGGCGGCCAGGGGCUCAGUGAGCACAGGGGGGCCGCGCACAGCAGCGCAUAUCCGGGCGCGAACCUGCGGAGGGGGUGGGGGGGUAGGGUCGUGCACCGCUGCAGAGGCCCCGGUACCUCCCCAAGGCACCGGGACCAGAGCCUCGGCCUGCCGGGCCACCAGGCUGCCCACCGGACGGGGGGCAAGCGCUCGGCCCUGGUCCCCACGGCGUCCGCGGAGCUGCGGGCGCGGGGACCCCAGGCCGUGGCUAGCGUGGACGUCCUCUCCCGCCUACAGCCGGGGCCGCGAGGCUUCCCCUCCGGGACCGCGCGGCGGUCCUUCUCCUUGGCUUGCCCUGUGUUGGGGCUGGCAACGCCCAGACCUCGCGCCCGCUGACGUCCCGCGUCCGGGAGGAAGCGCCGCAAGAAGUCCCGGCCGGGCUCCUCCCCAGGGCGGCUUGGGGGACCUGAGCACCCGCUGCGCCCCAGCAGCGCGUCGUCUUCGUCGUCUUCUGGGGAGCCUGGGGCCCCAGGCAGGCAGCCCGGUACAGCGCGGCUCCUCCCGCCCGGGCCUCCGGGGCGACUCUGGGGGUCACCCCUGCAGAGUGAUCCCAACCCUUGCGUCCUACAUGCGGGGCCUUCAGAGGCUGGGACGCUCAGCAUGCGGGGCCCUGUCACCUGCCGCGUCUGCGCUCCCCUCCGGGCCGUGUCACUGGCUGUGUCUGUGCGUGUCCCCGUCUUUCGCAGGGAUGCUCUGGGGGUCACCUCCGCCUGGCGAUCCUGGUCCUUGCGUCCUGCACGCGGGGCCUCGAGAGGCUGGGAUGCUCAGCGCGCGCCGGGCCGUAUCACCUGCUGCGUCUGCGCGUCUGUCCCCGUCUGCGCUCUGCACUGGGCUGCCCGCCGUCUCCCGUGAGGCCUCUAGGGGGUCCCCCCCGCACAAAGAUCCGGGCCCUUGCGUCCUGCACGCGGAGCCUCGAGGCUGGGAUGCUCAGCGCGUGGGGCCGUGUCACCUGCUGUAUCUGUCCGUGUCCCCGUCUCCCUUGGGGCCUCCAGGGGUCACCCCCGUACGGCGAUCCGGGCCCUUGGGUCCUGCAUGCGGGACCUCCAGAGGCUGGGAUGCUCAGUGCGCGCGGGGCCGUGUCACCUGCUGUGUCUGUCCGUGUCCCCGUCUCCCGCAGGGCCCCCGGGGGUCACCUCCGCCCGGCGAUCCGUGCCCUUGGGUCCUGCACGCGGGGCCUCGAGAGGCUGGGAUGCUCAGCGCGCACGGGGCCGUGUCACCUGCCGCGUCUGUCCGCGUCCCCCGGGGGCCCCCUCCCCGCCCGGCGAUGUGGGCCCUUGCGUCCCGCCCGCGGGGCCGUGUCGGCUGCCGUGGCGCCUCCCGGGGGCUGGGACGGUGA
This 1647-nucleotide long non-coding RNA is filed under the name Canis lupus familiaris (dog). RNAcentral describes it as "lncRNA (ENSCAFG00040012562.1)". The record is from RNAcentral. Lineage: Eukaryota; Metazoa; Chordata; Mammalia; Carnivora; Canidae.